UACGUAUGGAGCAAGCGUUAUCCGGAUUUACUGGGUGUAAAGGGAGUGUAGGUGGCCAAGCAAGUCAGAAGUGAAAGCCCGGGGCUCAACCCCGGGACUGCUUUUGAAACUGCAGGGCUAGAGUGCAGGAGGGGCAAGUGGAAUUCCUAGUGUAGCGGUGAAAUGCGUAGAUAUUAGGAGGAACACCAGUGGCGAAGGCGGCUUGCUGGACUGUAACUGACACUGAGGCUCGAAAGCGUGGGGAGCAAACAGG
Molecule: ribosomal RNA, 253 nt
Filed under: [Lactobacillus] rogosae
Lineage: Bacteria; Bacillati; Bacillota; Clostridia; Lachnospirales; Lachnospiraceae
Description: Lactobacillus rogosae partial 16S ribosomal RNA
Rfam family: Bacterial small subunit ribosomal RNA
Source: RNAcentral